CCUACGGGCGGCAGCAGUCGAGAAUCAUUCACAAUGGGGGAAACCCUGAUGGUGCGACGCCGCGUGGGGGAAUGAAGGUCUUCGGAUUGUAAACCCCUGUCAUGUGGGAGCAAAUUAAAAAGAUAGUACCACAAGAGGAAGAGACGGCUAACUCUGUGCCAGCAGCCGCGGUAAUACAGAGGUCUCAAGCGUUGUUCGGAAUCACUGGGCGUAAAGCGUGCGUAGGCGGUUUCGUAAGGCGUGUGUGAAAGGCGCGGGCUCAACCCUCGGACGGCAAAAGAUAAUGCGAGACGUGAGGAAUGGAGGGGGAACCGGAAUUCGCGGUGUAGCAGUGAAAUGCGUAGAUAUCGAGAGGAACACUCGUGGCGAAGGCGGGUUCCUGGACAUUAACUGACGCUGAGGCACGAAGGCCAGGGGAGCGAAAGGGAUUAGAUACCCGAGUAGUC
This 446-nucleotide ribosomal RNA is filed under the name uncultured bacterium. Its description in RNAcentral is "partial 16S ribosomal RNA". It matches the Rfam family "Bacterial small subunit ribosomal RNA", at positions 338 to 795 of the family's 1533-position model. The record is from RNAcentral.